GACGAACGCUGGCGGCGUGCUUAACACAUGCAAGUCGAACGGAAAGGCCCUGCUUUUGUGGGGUGCUCGAGUGGCGAACGGGUGAGUAACACGUGAGUAACCUGCCCUUGACUUUGGGAUAACUUCAGGAAACUGGGGCUAAUACCGGAUAGGAGCUCCUGCUGCAUGGUGGGGGUUGGAAAGUUUCGGCGGUUGUGGAUGGACUCGCGGCUUAUCAGCUUGUUGGUGAGGUAGUGGCUUCCCAAGGGUUUGACGGGUAGCCGGCCUGGGAGGGUGACCGGCCACAUUGGGACUGAGGUACGGAGCAGACGGCUACGGGCGGCAGCAGGGGGGAAUAUUGCAGAAUGGGCGGAAGCCUGAUGCAGCAACGCCGCGUGCGGGAUGACGGCCUUCGGGUUGUAAACCGCUUUCGAAUGUGACGAAGCGUGAGUGACGGUAAUGGGUAAAGAAGCACCGGCUAACUACGUG
Molecule: ribosomal RNA, 468 nt
Filed under: uncultured bacterium
Lineage: Bacteria
Description: partial 16S ribosomal RNA
Rfam family: Bacterial small subunit ribosomal RNA
Source: RNAcentral